UUCCCGGGCCUUGUACACACCGCCCGUCACACCACGAAAGUUGGCAAUACCCGAAGCCGGUGGCCUAACCGCAAGGGAGGGAGCCGUCUAAGGUAGGGUUGAUGAUUGGGGUG
RNAcentral lists this ribosomal RNA (113 nucleotides) under uncultured bacterium. Its description in RNAcentral is "partial 16S ribosomal RNA". It matches the Rfam family "Bacterial small subunit ribosomal RNA", at positions 1371 to 1482 of the family's 1533-position model. The record is from RNAcentral.